CCCCAGGGAGCAGAUUGCAGAGCUCCAGAAGGUGGCAGCCGUGCCUCAGACCCACAUCGCCGUUGUGGGGAACACAGGCGCAGGGAAGAGCUGCUUGCUGAACGCCCUCCUGGAGGAGGAGUGCGUGCUGCCCACCUCGGCCAUGAGGGCUUGCACCGCCGUGGUGGUGGAGAUCUCCAGAGCAGCAGGCGGCAGCCCCUACGANGCGGACGUGGAGUUCUUGUCGCACCAAGAGUGGUACAAAGAGCUAAAAGCGCUGCUGGAAGACAUGAAAGACAAGUCUGGUAACUUGCGAAAGCGGUGUCCGGAUCGCAAAAGCGAAGCUGGGGCAGCCUACUGUCGGGUGAAGGCUGUCUACGGGGCGGUGGAGGAGCUGGAGAAGCUGCAGCGCGUGCAGGAUGUCACCCGGCACCUGGGCACCGUGAAACGCAUCUGUGCUGAUACGGCAGCAGACUUCCGCACCAAGAUUGAGAGUUACGUCGACUGUCGGACGGAUAACCUGCGUGAGAUGAAAGGUGGGGAGUUCUGGCCAAUUGUGAAAUGCGUGAGAAUCCGUCUGGCCAAAGCGGAGGUUUUGAAAACGGGAGCCGUGCUUGUGGAUUUGCCUGGAAUCCGGGACUCCAACGUGGCGAGAGACAGCGUGGCCAAAGAGGUAGGGCGGGGGNAGUGGAGAGAAGUUUCACAGGACAGCUCU
Molecule: long non-coding RNA, 694 nt
Filed under: Salvator merianae (Argentine black and white tegu)
Lineage: Eukaryota; Metazoa; Chordata; Lepidosauria; Squamata; Teiidae
Description: lncRNA (ENSSMRG00000010000.1)
Source: RNAcentral